Molecule: ribosomal RNA, 377 nt
Filed under: uncultured bacterium
Lineage: Bacteria
Description: bacterial SSU rRNA
Rfam family: Bacterial small subunit ribosomal RNA
Source: RNAcentral
AGACAGAGGGUGCAAGCGUUGUUCGGAAUUACUGGGCGUAAAGGGUGUGUAGGCGGUAGGGUGUGUCUGGCGUGAAAGACCUCGGCUUAACCGAGGAACGGCAUUGGAUACUACCCAACUAGAGUGCGAGAGGGGAUGGCGGAAUUCUUGGAGUAGAGGUGAAAUUCGUAGAUACCAAGAGGAAUACCUGAGGCGAAGGCGGCCAUCUGGAUCGUAACUGACGCUGAAACACGAAAGCGUGGGGAGCAAACAGGAUUAGAUACCCUGGUAGUCCACGCUGUAAACGAUGAUAACUAGGUGUUGGGGGAAUUGACCCCUUCAGCGCCGACGCUAACGCAUUAAGUUAUCCGCCUGGGGAGUACGGUCGCAAGACUAAA